GAUGAACGCUGGCGGCGUGCCUAAUACAUGCAAGUCGAGCGAACAGACGAGGAGCUUGCUCCUCUGACGUUAGCGGCGGACGGGUGAGUAACACGUGGAUAACCUACCUAUAAGACUGGGAUAACUUCGGGAAACCGGAGAUAAUACCGGAUAAUAUAUUGAACCGCAUGGUUCAAUAGUGAAAGACGGUUUUGCUGUCACUUAUAGAUGGAUCCGCGCCGCAUUAGCUAGUUGGUAAGGUACAGGCUUAUCAAGGCAACGAUGCGUAGCCGACCUGAUAGGGUGAGCGGCCACACUGGAACGGAGACACGGUCCAGACGCCUACGGGAGGGAGCAGUAGGGAAACUUCCGCAAUGGGCGAAAGCCUGACGGAGCAACGCCGCGUGAGUGAUGAAGGUCUUCGGGUCGGAAAACACUGUUAUUAGGGAAGAACAAGUGUGUGAGUAACUAUGCGCGUCUUGACGGUACCUAAUCAAAGAGGCACGGCUAACUACGUG
RNAcentral lists this ribosomal RNA (497 nucleotides) under uncultured bacterium. RNAcentral describes it as "partial 16S ribosomal RNA". It matches the Rfam family "Bacterial small subunit ribosomal RNA", at positions 28 to 507 of the family's 1533-position model. The record is from RNAcentral.